AUACGUAGGUCCCGAACGUUGCGCGAAAUUACUGGGCGUAAAGGGUCCGUAGGCGGUCUGGUAAGUGGAAGGUGAAAGCCUGGGGCUCAACUCCAGAAUUGCCUUCCAAACUGCCGGACUUGAGGCAGGGAGAGGUCGGCGGAAUUCCCGGUGUAGUCGUGAAAUGCGUAGAUAUCGGGAGGAACACCAGUGGCGAAGGCGGCCGACUGGAACUGUCCUGACGCUGAGGGACGAAAGCCAGGGGAGCGAACCGGAUUAGAAACCCUAGUAGUCC
RNAcentral lists this ribosomal RNA (274 nucleotides) under uncultured bacterium. RNAcentral's name for it is "partial 16S ribosomal RNA". It matches the Rfam family "Bacterial small subunit ribosomal RNA", at positions 523 to 796 of the family's 1533-position model. The record is from RNAcentral.